CUGGGAAUAUGUAGUAACUGCAGCAGGAUUUACCCAGUCUUUGGGUGAAGACAUGCAAAGCAGCUUCCUGCAGUGCUGCUUAUUUUGGAGGAUACAUCCCAGCAUCUGCAGGGGCUCAGCACCACAGUUAACUUGAGGAAGCCUAGGCCUGUGCUGUGCUGCACUGUGCUGCACAUACAGCUUGGGUUUCGGGCCUGUGCUGCGCUGUGCAUUUCUGUGCCUGCAGGAUGACCCUGGCCAGCUCACAGCAGAGGAACAUGCAGGCAAAUCUGCCUGGCAUGCUGCACGCCAAUCAGAGGACCACUCGAUCCAGGUUUCCUGCAUCUGAAGGGACGUAAGACAACCUGUACUAUUUUCUCUUUCUUUGUAGUGUUAGCUCUAGCAAAUACUAUUUUAAAACAUACCUUACAGAGCCAAGCACCUUUCUUAUAGGAACACAGUGAGUCACCACCUCCUGGCACAAAACACCUCCUGCCCCAGGCCCUGCUCCUGAGGCCGCCUGGGACACUGGCAGUUUGUGGGCAAAUUGUGCACCUUAUUGUUUUUGACUCCUUUGUUACUCCCUUAUCGGCUUGCUACAGCUCCUCACACUGCUGUCUCUGUUCCCUACAACUGCAUCCUCCUAAUGGUACAAGGCUUCCUUCCUGCUCAAUUUGAGAUGAGAGAAAGCUGACAGCCAUUGAGACGGUGUGAGAAGCGAGCCUGCUCUCUCCUGCUCUGGCCGGAGCUCUCCCUGGAGGACCACAGAUUGGCAACAAGAAGUUUCCAAGCCCUCAGCCACAAAAGCACAGGCCUGGAAUCUCUGUAAUGAGAGUUUCCCUCUUUGCCGUUUGCCAGGAGAACAAGGACCAGGCAUCAAUAUCAAAACCGACCAGAUUCCAAUGAAAGCCAGCAAAGAAAAAUAAGAACGGAAAGCAAAUCAUUUUGCUGGUUACAAACAGGCAAGUAAAGCUACAGAGGCGCAGCCAACAGGACCGCCCUGCAGCCCUGCCACGCAGCGUCCUGCUGCCACCCACAGGGACGGGUCCCACAGUGCCUCCAUCGCCCUUCCAGACGGGCGAGUGCUUCGCCC
RNAcentral lists this long non-coding RNA (1072 nucleotides) under Gallus gallus (chicken). RNAcentral describes it as "lncRNA (ENSGALG00010026776.1)". Lineage: Eukaryota; Metazoa; Chordata; Aves; Galliformes; Phasianidae. The record is from RNAcentral.